This 497-nucleotide ribosomal RNA is filed under the name uncultured bacterium. RNAcentral's name for it is "partial 16S ribosomal RNA". It matches the Rfam family "Bacterial small subunit ribosomal RNA", at positions 28 to 507 of the family's 1533-position model. The record is from RNAcentral.
GAUGAACGCUGGCGGCGUGCCUAAUACAUGCAAGUCGAGCGAACAGACGAGGAGCUUGCUCCUCUGACGUUAGCGGCGGACGGGUGAGUAACACGUGGAUAACCUACCUAUAAGACUGGGAUAACUUCGGGAAACCGGAGCUAAUACCGGAUAAUAUAUUGAACCGCAUGGUUCAAUAGUGAAAGACGGUUUUGCUGUCACUUAUAGAUGGAUCCGCGCCGCAUUAGCUAGUUGGUAAGGUAACGGCUUACCAAGGCAACGAUGCGUAGCCGACCUGAGAGGGUGAUCGGCCACACUGGAACUGAGACACGGUCCAGACUCCUACGGGAGGCAGCAGUAGGGAAUCUUCCGCAAUGGGCGAAAGCCUUACGGAUCAACGCCGCGUGAGUGAUGAAGGUCUUCGGAUCGUAAAACUCUGUUAUUAGGGAAGAACAAAUGUGUAAGUAACUAUGCACGUCUUGACGGUACCUAAUCAGAAAGCCACGGCUAACUACGUG